This is a long non-coding RNA of Manihot esculenta (cassava), 549 nucleotides long. RefSeq lists it as uncharacterized. The record is from RefSeq and is a predicted model, not a curated record. The transcript is spliced from 2 exons. NCBI's taxonomy places the organism in Eukaryota, Viridiplantae, Streptophyta, Magnoliopsida, Malpighiales, Euphorbiaceae.
GGAGAACAAGAGCACGCGGGCGCGGGAAAAGAAGUCACGGCCAGAAUCAACGAUAAACGAUAAUUACAACAUCAAUUCAUAUCUCUCUUGUUUCUUGAACCUGAGUUCCAGCCAAAAGACCAUAUUCACCAUGACAUCGAGGCUUUUCUCGACUGGAACCAAGGUAGCUUCUCGCUCUCUCCCACAGAAACAACGCACUUAGUUCUUUCUUUGUUAUUUUGUGCAGGAUUUAUAAUAGCGGCAAUGUCACUGAAAAUGAAUUUUACUUCGGUCACUGAUGCGAAUGAAGUCAUGAAAAGGCACGUAGGGACUAACUUGCAAUGCUUUGGAGGUUUUUUUUGGGUCAAAGACGACUUUGGAGGUUCAUCCCCAAUAAUAAGGGGAUAAAAGAUUGCGUUGUGGUAUUUUCUAGUUACUCAUUUCCUACAGCUUGCCGUAGGACGUGGUUAGGCAGAAUGAUUGCUCUAUAUGCAAUUCUUUGAAGGAAACAACUCUUACUGUUGAUUUUCUCCAUAUCUUUAGCAUAAUGUCAUCCUGAAGUUCGAGUUA